CCUACGGGGGGCAGCAGUGAGGAAUAUUGGUCAAUGGACGAGAGUCUGAACCAGCCAAGUAGCGUGAAGGAUGACUGCCCUAUGGGUUGUAAACUUCUUUUAUAUGGGAAUAAAAUGUUACACGUGUGGGAUUUUGUAUGUACCAUAUGAAUAAGGAUCGGCUAACUCCGUGCCAGCAGCCGCGGUAAUACGGAGGAUCCGAGCGUUAUCCGGAUUUAUUGGGUUUAAAGGGAACGUAGGUGGAUUGUUAAGUCAGUUGUGAAAGUUUGCGGCUCAACCGUAAAAUUGCAGUUGAAACUGGCAGUCUUGAGUACAGUAGAGGUGGGCGGAAUUCGUGGUGUAGCGGUGAAAUGCUUAGAUAUCACGAAGAACUCCGAUUGCGAAGGCAGUUCACUGGACUGCAACUGACACUGAGGCUCGAAAGUGUGGGUAUCAAACAGGAUUAGAUACCCUAGUAGUC
This 460-nucleotide ribosomal RNA is filed under the name uncultured bacterium. RNAcentral's name for it is "partial 16S ribosomal RNA". It matches the Rfam family "Bacterial small subunit ribosomal RNA", at positions 338 to 795 of the family's 1533-position model. The record is from RNAcentral.